Molecule: non-coding RNA, 115 nt
Organism: Triticum aestivum (bread wheat)
Lineage: Eukaryota; Viridiplantae; Streptophyta; Magnoliopsida; Poales; Poaceae
Source: Rfam
CUACUACUCCCUCCGUCCCGAAUUACUUGUCGCAGAAAUGGAUGUAUCUAGAACUAAAAAAUGUCUAGAUACAUCCCUUUCUACGACAAGUAAUUCUAAACGGAGGGAGUAGUAA